GUGACAUUACAAUCUAUAUUUUGAACGGGCAAUAAUUUGGACAUCAUUAUGAUGAAGAGGUCCGCAUUCAACCAGGAAGUUGCAGUGUCAUCUCUGGAGUGGUUUGGAAGGUCGUGAGUCCUCGCAGGAGUUGGUGCUGUCUCUUCAAAAGUGUUGGUCAUCUGAGGUCUUCUUAAGAGGCUGGAUCCAAACUGAAACUGAUGUACUCUCUAGUCACCUCGGGACGGGCAUCUCAAGGUAUAAAGAGAAGAAACAAAGGGGAAAACUCAAGGCAUUCAGUGUGCACUCCAUUCCUCCUUCAAGACGAGAAAUUGAGAGAGAUGUGGAGAGAUGCACAAAAGAAAUACAGAAAAAGAAAAAAAGAAGGGAAUGCCAUUAUGAACCUGACCCCUCCAUCUCUUGAAGCAUCACUAAAUGAAGAUAAUCCUAUGGCACCAACAAACAACAGCACACCAGAGCCUCCUGUCCAGUCACAUUCCAUUACCAAUUCUCCUCCUGAAUGCCCCCCUGAGAAUCUAGAGGUGUCUAAAUUGUCCAUCCUAAGCAAGUUGAUAGUUCAGAAUGAUAAUCUGAGAAAGUUAAAAGGCAGAAUCAGGUACUUAAGAAAAAACUGAAAGAAGAACACUCCAAAGCAGAAAGAUACAGGAAAAAAUGUGAACGGAAAAUAGAGCAAAAGCCUGCUUGCACUAUUAGUGAAAAGUUUCACCCCUGAGCAGCUAAAAAAAAUGUCCAGUGAGAAGAAAAAAAGGGUUGAGGCUUUUCUGCAAUUGGAUGAGAACAGCAUUUUGUUUCCUGGAAAAAAGGACACAAUUGGAAGAAAAGAGAAGAAACAAAGAAGGAUCCUCACAAGCACACGUCAAGACCUUCACAAAGUCUUCAGUGAUAAGAAUGAUAAAUUGCACAGAAUGUCUUACAGGCAGUUCACCAGAUACAAACCAUUCUACAUCACUCCACCAAAAUCAUGCGAUCGCAACACCUGUGCAUGCCAUCAACAUGAAAACAUGAGGCUUUCAAAAAGACAACUAAUCACAACAAAAAGUCUUUAAACACUGCUGUCUUCCAUAUGCUGCAGAACGGAUAAUGACUUGUACAUGAGGCGGCAAUGCACAGAAUGCUGUUUUGAAGAGGGUUAAGUUCAGAGGGCAUAAUCCUGCUGUGAGGGUCACAUGGGAACAGUGGCAGAGAGAACCUAUUACAGUCGGAGAAAAAAAACUACAAGAACUGGGUUAAAAGAACCAAAGCGGGGUCAAUUGGAGAACUGCUAGAAGUGUUCCAGAAAGACCUUGAGGAACUGGGUAGUCAUCAUUACAAUUGGAUUCACCAAGUUAGAGAGUUCAGAGUUCAGAGAGAUCAUGAAGAUAUGUCACAACGAGGCAGAGAUUAAUUGUAAUAUUUUACAGGUGUGAUCAAAUAGUUUGCACAAUAUCUGAGCCAGAACCUCUUCACAGGUCAACCAAGCUCUCUCAGAUUGACUGGCUGAAGUUUAAUAUGGUCUGAAAUGUUUUUGUCUUUCAGCUUCCACUGAUGUUUAAAGAUCCCAUGUGAAUCUGUUAUUAUCCAUUAUUAUCCCAUGGGUAUCUGUUAUUAUUAAUACUACAAAUGUCUAUGAAUUUUCAAUCUAAAAUAUUCGACUAAUUGUAAAUUGAUAUUUUUACUGUUUAACAUUUAUAAUUGUCACAACACACUCUCUAAUUUUAAAAUGUUUGUUAGUUUCUUGACAUGAGAUGGAGUUUGAUUUACUCAUAUUUCUGAGUUUCAUAAAUACAAUUUAUUUACUGUUGAAUGCAUAUAAAAUACACUUUUUUGCAUUGACAAAUUGUGGUGUGGUGCAGUUCGUCAUAUAGUGUGACACUAUAUCAUUUGGUGUGACAUUCAGAAUUGUGACAAUAAAAAGACCUUUUUAGUUAUAAAUCAUAAAAAAGUCAAUGGAACAAAAGAGAAAUAGUAUCAGCAAGAGUCACAAACAUUUUGUUAGAUUUAUAACAGGGUUUGUCAGAAUUAAUCUAAAGGCUGAUUAGAGAUGUCUUAUUUUGCAUGAUGAUUUAGAAAAAAUAAUAUAAAAUCUAAUGGAUCUGCAAAAAAAAGAAAAAAAGAAAAAAAAUAAUCUUGAGAUAGUAAUGAUAAAUAUUUAUGGUGAAGUUAGUUACUUAGGGAGAGUAUAUCCCAUUUUCAUUUUAUAUAGAAUAACCUUUAUGUCACACAAUAUGACAAUUUUAGGCACGAAUGCAACAAAUUGGUAAAUAAAUCCAAUUUCCAAUAUAAAAUCUAAAAGACCACAAAUAUUUUUGGAAAUUCAAAAGUCAGUACAACAGAACUCAAUAUUUUUUAUGCCUAAUAUUUGAAGUUCAAAAAAAAAAAAAAAAAAAAAAAUUCAGGUGUCAACCACCCAAAAAUGAAAAUGGCAAGUUGGCAACAGCAACACUCGAUCGAUUCCCAUCAAUUCCCCUCAGAGAUCUCAAACUUUGACUUUUGACUUGACAUUAAAUAACAGUUCUCACUAUAAAACAUCGAAACACACAAAUGCACACAAAAUCGCUCAGGUCUGAAUUAAUUCAACAUAUUUUCCUCACACCCUCGCUCU
Molecule: long non-coding RNA, 2581 nt
Organism: Ctenopharyngodon idella (grass carp)
Lineage: Eukaryota; Metazoa; Chordata; Actinopteri; Cypriniformes; Xenocyprididae
Exons: 3
Source: RefSeq, a predicted model, not a curated record